Long non-coding RNA from Lutra lutra (Eurasian river otter), 821 nucleotides. RefSeq lists it as uncharacterized. The record is from RefSeq and is a predicted model, not a curated record. Lineage: Eukaryota; Metazoa; Chordata; Mammalia; Carnivora; Mustelidae. The transcript has 3 exons.
GAGCAUCAGGAGUCCGCGCCCGGUCACAAGUGGAAUUCUCUUCCUUGCCAAUUGAGACAGACAUGUGUUGCUGUCAUAAAGAUCGCACCGUCCAGUUUGGCCAAAUUGGUGGUCUCGAGGAUAAGCAAAGGACAUAAAGAUCAUCAGCAGGUGUAUACAAAGAUGCUCAACACCACUAAUCAUGAGGGAAAUGCACAUCAAAACCCCAAAGAGAUAUCACCUCAUACCUGCCGGAAUGGCCAGUAGAAACAAGUGCCUGCUUUCCUGCCCACAGCACCACUAACAUCCCAGGAGUUCCUCAACGCAAUUAUUUCUCAUUUUGUGUUACUUGCUGAAAGUAGUGCUAAUGUGCCCAAAAGGCUUUGCUCCUUGGUGAUGGAAAACAAAAACAAAAACAACAAAAAAAGCUCCUGCUCGGUUGUCAUUGGAGAGAAGAAACACCCAGAGAGUUGGGGCAUAUAUGGCCUGACUGUGCUGUGGACAUGAGCUGCAGACCCGCGCCUACUCGAAUUUCUUGUGCAGGUGAAUGGGAAUUCCACGCGUAGCACGCGAUUCACCACAGAGAGCUGAGCUACACUACGCCUGUAUACACACACAGUUUCGUUUGCUUGUUUGGGGAACGGCGUGUCAAAAUCACUCAAGUAAACAGGCAAAUGCAACUUCUUUCUUCUCGAAAAAUUAAUAACCAGUUGUUUAGCCAACUCCAAAUAUUAAUUUGCAAACUAAUUUUGUGAAUGUAGGCACAACUCAUUAUUAAUAGAAGAAGCAUAAAGAUUCCUCAUUGUCUAUGCUUUUUAAUCCAGCCCCAUAAACGGUUUUCA